CUAAGACAUGCAAGUCGAACGAGCCGUAAUUGUAGUGGCGAACGGGUGAGUAAUACUUAGGUAAUCUACCUUCGGCAGGGGGAUAACCACGGGAAACUGUGGGUAAUAGCCCAUAACGUCGGGUGUCGCAUGGCAUCCGACCAAAGCUCCGGCGGCUGGAGAUGAGCCUAAGGCCUAUCAGCUUGUUGGUGGGGUAAUGGCCUACCAAGGCGACGACGGGUAGCGGGUGUGAGAGCAUGGCCCGCCACAUCGGAACUGAGACACUGUCCGGACACCUACGGGUGGCUGCAGUAACGAAUCUUCCACAAUGCCCGCAAGGGUGAUGGAGCAAUGCCGCGUGCCAGAGGCAGUCCUUCGGGAUGUAAAUGGCUGUCAGGACCAAGGAAUCAUGACCAGGUCCAAAGGAAGGGGCGACUAACUUCGUGCCAGCAGUCGCGGUAAUACGAAGGCCCCAAGCGUUACUCGGAUUCACUGGGCUUAAAGGGCGUGUAGGCGGAUUGUCAGGUGUUCUGUGAAAGCCCACGGCUCAACCGUGGAAUUGCAGAGCAAACCGGCAGUCUUGAGGCGUGCAGGGGUGACUGGAACUCUGGGUGGAACGGUGAAAUGUAUAGAUAUCCAGGGGAAUGCCAAAGGCGAAAGCAGGUCACUGGGCACGUUCUGACGCUGAGGCGCGAAAGCGUGGGGAGCGAACGGGAUUAGAUACCCCGGUAGUCCACGCCGUAAACGAUGAGCACUAGAUUCGAGGCACUCUCACGUGCUUCGGGUCGUAGCGCAAGCGUUAAGUGCUCCGCCUGGGGACUACGGCCGCAAGGCUAAAACUCAAACGAAUUGACGGGGGCUCACACAAGCGGUGGAGCAUGUGGCUUAAUUCGAAGCAACGCGAAGAACCUUACCUGGGCUUGACAUCUAACGUUUAUCCUGUGGAAACACGGGUGCCUAGCUUGCUAGGGAGUUAGACAGGUGUUGCACGGCUGUCGUCAGCUCGUGCCGUGAGGUGUCAGGUUAAGUCCCUCAACGAGCGAAACCCCUAUCUCUAGUUGCCAGCGGUUCGGCCGGGCACUCUAGCGAGACUGCCGGCGCAAGCCGGAGGAAGGUGGGGAUGACGUCAAGUCAUCGUGGCCCUUACGCCCAGGGAUGCACACGUGCUACAAUGCCAAGUACAAAGCGCUGCAAACUCGCGAGAGUAAGCGAAUCGCAUAAAGCUUGACCCAGUUCAGAUUGGAGUCUGCAACUCGACUCCAUGAAGGCGGAAUCGCUAGUAAUCGCAGAUCAGCUACGCUGCGGUGAAUGAGUUCCUGAGCCUUGUACACACCGCCCGUCAAGUCAUGGAAGCUGGUAACGCCCGAAGU
Molecule: ribosomal RNA, 1349 nt
Filed under: uncultured organism
Description: 16S ribosomal RNA
Rfam family: Bacterial small subunit ribosomal RNA
Source: RNAcentral